CCCGGGCUCCUCCCGCCGCCCCUCCCCGCAGUCCCAGGCUCCUCUCCCAGCUCCUCCCCCCAGCCUCGCAUCCCCCGCAGCCCCGCGUCCCCCUCCCAGCCCAGCGCCCGUCCCCGCUCGCUCCCGGAGCCACUGCCCUCCCCCGUCAGCCUCCUUCGAGCUUAUUCUCUGGGCCUCUGGACCACAACAAGGUCCGCAGCCCGAAGGUCCCCAACCGGUGGGUUUGAUCGCGGUGGGGAGGACAGGGCAGGACUUCGCGGGGCGGGCGGUGAGUGCAGAAAGUCCACACCCGCAGCUGCCCUCCCAGCCCUGUGGGCACGGCCGCUCUGCGAGGUCAGUCGCCCCCUUCUCUCCGCGGACCGUCGCGGCUGUUAGAAUGCGCCUCCUCCUUUACUGCCGUUUCCCCAUUGCCCCAGACACGGUGCGUGACAUCGGUGCUCAGGAAAUAUUCGUGGAAGGAGUAAACGACUGGGUGGGCUUUCGCUGCUGUUUCUUAGCGCUCGCAUCAGUUUUCUGCCUCCUCCGCCCUUCAGGGCCCUCGUUCUCUGUGUCUUCAUAGGCACCUGUUCGUGGGCAGGCCUGGAGGUCCCGAAAAUGAAGGCUGAGCGGGUCAUGCAAGGGAAACCUGGUUGGGUUUGUGCCACGGAUCCCAGAUGGGCUGACCUUGGGAACCACCCAGUGCCUGGCAUAUAGUAGACACUCAAUAAAUUGUGUUGAGUCAUUAAACCUUGGAUUGGCUGUGUGGCCUUGGACAAGCCCAUUCAUGUUUCUAAGCUCACAGUGCCUCAAUAAAUGCUGCCGAG
Molecule: long non-coding RNA, 803 nt
Filed under: Homo sapiens (human)
Lineage: Eukaryota; Metazoa; Chordata; Mammalia; Primates; Hominidae
Description: HSALNT0365912
Source: RNAcentral